CCCAGAUCGUUUACCGUGAAAAAAUUAGAGUGUUCAAAGCAGGCAGAUCCAAUUUUCUGCCACCGAAUACAUUAGCAUGGGAUAAUGGAAUAGGACCCUGUCCUCCUAUUUUCAGUUGGUUUUGGCAGCGCGAGGACUAGGGUAAUGAUUAAUAGGGAUAGUUGGGGGCAUUAAUAUUUAAUUGUCAGAGGUGAAAUUCUUGGAUUUAUGAAAGAUUAACUUCUGCGAAAGCAUCUGCCAAGGAUGUUUUCAUUAAUCAAGAACGAAAGUUAGGGGAUCGAAGACGAUCAGAUACCGUCGUAGUCUUAACCAUAAACGAUGCCGACCAGCGAUUAGGAGACGUUGAAUACAAAACACCACCAUCGGUGCGGUCGUCCUUGGCGCGUUGGUCUUCAAAAGCCAGCGCGCGGGGGCGGCUUAGCCCGGUGGCACCGGUGAAUGACUCCCCUAGCAGCUUGUGAGA
This 463-nucleotide ribosomal RNA is filed under the name Acanthamoeba castellanii. RNAcentral's name for it is "SSU rRNA". It matches the Rfam family "Eukaryotic small subunit ribosomal RNA", at positions 742 to 1095 of the family's 1831-position model. The record is from RNAcentral. Lineage: Eukaryota; Discosea; Longamoebia; Acanthamoebidae.